GCAACUUGCAAUGCUAAGGCUGGAGGAUCACAUUUGAGGCCAGCCUCAGCAACUUGGUAAUCUUAAAAUAAAGGUUGGGAUGUGGCUCAGUGGUAAAAAAGCACCCCUGGGUUCAAUCUCUAUUACAAAAAAAAAAAAUGUGGGGUGGAUGCAGCCCAAGGAAGCUUGGAGGAGAGGGGCAGGUUUGCCCAACAUGGAGCCAAACCAUGGACCAGCUAUGAUCUAAUACCAGGAAAAGGGACUGGAUCGAGAUGCUCUGAAAGAGGCCACACUUAAACCUGGGAAAGAAGACAGCGGCCUCAGGGCUACAUGAUAGGAUGCUGAGGGUUAAGGGAGAAUAUGCAAUCACUUUCCAGGGAAGUCCUGGCCUGACACAGCUCCAUUUGGGUACCUUGGCUUCCAACUAUAUAUAUUUUUAAUGUUUCUACAAUUGUUAUAAUGUUUAUUGUCAAAUUGAAACAUUCAGAAGAACUCAAUGAAAAAAUUUAAAUAACCACAACCACUUGAAAUUUCUAUGUAUUUACUUGCAGGGUUUUUUUUUUUUUCUUUUGUGUGUGUACAUAUAUGUUGUGUAUAUUAUGGUUUUAUAAAAAUAAGGUCCUUUGCUGGUUGCGGUGGCACACACCUGCAAUCCUAGCAGUUUGGAAUGCUGAGGCAGGAGGAUCACAAGUUCCAAGGCCAGCCUCAGCAACUUAGUGAGGCCCUAAGCAACUGGAUAAAAAUAAAAAAUAAGAAAGGGCUGGGGAUGUGGCUCAAUGGUUAAGUACCCCUGGGUUCAAUUCAAGGUACCAAAUUUAAAAAUAAAGUCCUCUGGCAUGUAUUAUUUGUAACCUGGUUUUUAAAAUUUCAUGUUAUAUUACAAAUAG
RNAcentral lists this long non-coding RNA (866 nucleotides) under Marmota monax (woodchuck). The record is from RNAcentral. Lineage: Eukaryota; Metazoa; Chordata; Mammalia; Rodentia; Sciuridae.